GUGCCAGCAGCCGCGGUAAUACGGAGGAUCCAAGCGUUAUCCGGAUUUAUUGGGUUUAAAGGGUGCGUAGGCGGCUCAUUAAGUCAGGGGUGAAAGACGGUGGCUCAACCAUCGCAGUGCCUUUGAUACUGAUGAGCUUGAAUACACUAGAGGUAGGCGGAAUGAGACAAGUAGCGGUGAAAUGCAUAGAUAUGUCUCAGAACACCAAUUGCGAAGGCAGCUUACUAUGGUGUCAUUGACGCUGAGGCACGAAAGCGUGGGGAUCAAACAGGAUUAGAUACCCUGGUAGUCCACGCCCUAAACGAUGAAUACUCGAUGUUAGCGAUAUACAGUUAGCGUCUAAGCGAAAGCGUUAAGUAUUCCACCUGGGGAGUACGCCCGCAAGGGUGAA
Molecule: ribosomal RNA, 391 nt
Filed under: uncultured bacterium
Lineage: Bacteria
Description: bacterial SSU rRNA
Rfam family: Bacterial small subunit ribosomal RNA
Source: RNAcentral